GCCCGUGUAGCUCAGUGGUAGAGCACACCCUUGGUAAGGGUGAGGUCAAGAGUUCAAUCCUCUUCACGGGCU
This 72-nucleotide transfer RNA is filed under the name Cyanobacteria bacterium CRU_2_1. RNAcentral's name for it is "tRNA-Thr". It matches the Rfam family "tRNA". Rfam says of the family: Transfer RNA (tRNA) molecules are approximately 80 nucleotides in length. Lineage: Bacteria; Bacillati; Cyanobacteriota. The record is from RNAcentral. RNAcentral also lists the same sequence under 1 other name.